This 334-nucleotide unclassified non-coding RNA is filed under the name soil metagenome. Its description in RNAcentral is "partial contains 5.8S ribosomal RNA, internal transcribed spacer 2, and large subunit ribosomal RNA". The stretch from base 1 to 120 matches the Rfam family "5.8S ribosomal RNA", at positions 35 to 154 of the family's 154-position model. The record is from RNAcentral.
GAUGAAGAACGUAGCGAAAUGCGAUAAGUAAUGUGAAUUGCAGAAUUCAGUGAAUCAUCGAAUCUUUGAACGCACAUUGCGCCCCCCAGUAUUCUGGCGGGCAUGCCUGUUCGAGCGUCAUUUCAACCAUCAAGCCCUGCUUGUGUUGGGGUCCUGCGGCUGCCCGCAGGCCCUGAAAACCAGUGGCGGGCUCGCUAGUCACACCGAGCGCAGUAGCACAUCUCGCUCAGGGCGUGCGGCGGGCUCCAGCCGUUAAAGCACCCACCUUUCGCAAGGUUGACCUCGGAUCAGGUAGGAAUACCCGUUGAACUUAAGCAUAUCAAUAAGCGGAGGA